UUGCACCACUGCACUCCAGCCUGGGCGAUACAGUGAGACCCAGUCUCAAAAAAAAAAAAAAAAGAGUCUUUUUUGAUGGUGGACAUCUUCCAAUGAGCAUUCACAUGGGACAGAUUUUUUUUUAGUUCUACCGUUGUUCUGAAAGCUCUAUGUAUGUUCCUCUUCCCUAAAAAUCUUUGUCACCAAGCCUCCAGAUUUAUUCCUUCUAAAAUGUUGAAAUUCCAGCUAAUUCCUUAGUUGUUACCCAGGAAACAAUGCAGAUCCUGGUCCGAGGAUGCAGCUCCUUCCAGGCAGCCUGGACUGUGAGGUGUGCUCCAUUGCUCUUCAGGAACCGUCCUUGAGAGGCGUUCCACAGCAGGCCAGACCUGGGGGGAGCAGGUGGGCCAGGCGGAAAGCACAGCACAAUUUGAGAGAUGCUGAGUACUCAUGACUCUGUGUAAGCACCUGAAUUCAGCCCUCAUGGUCUUUUCUGAGCUGUCAGUCAUUUAUCUCUAUUUAGUCAUUUUGCGAAUUGGAGUUAGCUUCCUUCCCUCUACACUCAAAGACGGCAUGUCAACAUUUUAGGCCUCUGGGUGGAAUGAACUCCCAGUUUCCUGGGAGGGAGCUGAUUGGCAUCUAUUCGCCUCUUCCUAGUUUUGUGGGGUUUCCCAGCAUGUGGAGUCAUAGAGAAAGACUGGUCCCACCUUCUAUGUAAUGCCCAAGAGAAUAGAUGACUCUCUGUCCACCCCCACCCUGGCAUCCAGGGCUUCUGGACAAGACCUAGGCUGGCUAAUUGGCUGCUUCCACAUGGGAUCCUGAAUCUGGAGCAAGUGAGGCAAAGCCCAGGGUGCUUAGAAUCCAUUCUCAGUGAGAGCAGCAGGACUGCCCGGGAGGGGAAUAGAGACGGGGACGACCGAGUCCUGCACCAGCAGAGAUGACGUCCGCAGGUGGCGGGGCAGCGCUGUGGCCGUGUCACUCCUCACAAAGCAGGGCUCUUGUGCUCGCAGCCUUCGAUACCGUCUCACUGUCUUGGCUUCUAUUUAUCUUCCAAGCCAAUUUCCAGCCUCCUACACACGUGGGGUUCUUCUGGUAUCAUUCCAGUGAAUUUCAUGUUGUUUUCUGCCCUAAGAAAACAGAGUUGGUACCUCUGCUCGACCAAGAAGCCUGAUUGAUACAGACUGAGAGCUGCAGGCUGUGUUUAUUUGCUUCAUUAACAAGAACAACUUAGGAAUGGCAACUUCCAUUGAUGAGCUUCCUACUUUGUUCUGCGGUUGGAAAACAAACAGUUGUUUCCCUGUUGACGACUGGCCACACUGGAGAGGUGAACAGUUCACUCUCAAGGCCAUACUGACUUGAACACUGGCUGUCUAGAAACAGAGAGGCAGGCAGCGGCAGACAGGAAGAGAGAUGGAGCAGAGUCCUCCAGCGGGAGCUGCACCUCGGAAGCAUCCUUAGAUGCGGCUUGGAGUUGGGAUCCUUCAAUUCCCCUCAGGAAAAACAUUAACAUCUGCCAUUUUUCUAAAUUGAAUGUGAAAGAUGAUCCUGACAGGCUGAACAAAGAUGCUUGCUCUCUGUUGUGAUGUUUGACAAGGGAAUCUUCCUUCAUUUUCUCCUCUGAUGAGCCUCUCUACCAGAUAAGCAGCAGCAGGAACCAAACGUUUAAGAAAAAUGUAAAGACAUUAUUUUGUCCAUCACUUAACAUUUUUAUGAACAAGUUGGGAGGUAGCCUGCAUGAAUGCCUCUGUGCAAUGGAAUGAAUGGCCGGAGAUCUCACCAUCCCAGGAUGACUUUGGGGAAGGAAGACCCAAACAGCCCACUAUCACAUGCUGUCCUGCCUGCCUCAGGCCUCCUGUCCUUCUCUCCCUUGUGACCUGCAAACUAACCUUGAGGACUCAUGUCAACUGUCACUGCAUUGGAAGCCCUCUGUGAUAGUUAAUAUUGAGUGUCAACUUGAUUGGAUUGAAGGAUGCAAAGUAUUGUUCCUGGGUGUGUCUGUGAGGGUGUGG
RNAcentral lists this long non-coding RNA (1985 nucleotides) under Homo sapiens (human). RNAcentral describes it as "HSALNT0405962". The record is from RNAcentral. Lineage: Eukaryota; Metazoa; Chordata; Mammalia; Primates; Hominidae.